This 217-nucleotide unclassified non-coding RNA is filed under the name Funneliformis mosseae. RNAcentral's name for it is "partial contains 5.8S ribosomal RNA and internal transcribed spacer 2". The stretch from base 1 to 71 matches the Rfam family "5.8S ribosomal RNA", at positions 84 to 154 of the family's 154-position model. Lineage: Eukaryota; Fungi; Glomeromycota; Glomeromycetes; Glomerales; Glomeraceae. The record is from RNAcentral.
GUGAAUCAUCAAAUUUUUGAACGCAAAUUGCACUCCCUGGUAUUCCGGGGAGUAUGCCUGUUUGAGGGUCGUUAGAAUAAAAAAUCCAUCCUUCGCUCUUUUUUUUAUGGGUUAUGGCGUUGGAAUUGAGCCGUCUUUCAAAUGUUAAUUCAUGUUAAAGUGGCUUGAAAUUCAUCCAUCCGGUGCGAUUGAAGCUUAUUUAAGAUCAAUAUUCAUC